CGGGACGGGUGAGUAAUGUCUGGGAAACUGCCUGAUGGGGGGGGAUAACUGCUGGAAACGGUAGCUAAUACCGCAUAACGUCGCAAGACCAAAGAGGGGGACCUUCGGGCCUCUUGCCGUCGGAUGUGCCCAGAUGGGAUUAGCUAGUAGGUGGGGUAACGGCUCACCUAGGCGACGAUCCCUAGCUGGUCUGAGAGGAUGACCAGCCACACUGGAACUGAGACACGGUCCAG
RNAcentral lists this ribosomal RNA (233 nucleotides) under uncultured bacterium. RNAcentral's name for it is "partial 16S ribosomal RNA". It matches the Rfam family "Bacterial small subunit ribosomal RNA", at positions 100 to 334 of the family's 1533-position model. The record is from RNAcentral.